RNAcentral lists this ribosomal RNA (211 nucleotides) under uncultured bacterium. Its description in RNAcentral is "partial 16S ribosomal RNA". It matches the Rfam family "Bacterial small subunit ribosomal RNA", at positions 524 to 730 of the family's 1533-position model. The record is from RNAcentral.
UACGUAGGGUGCGAGCGUUAAUCGGAAUUACUGGGCGUAAAGCGUGCGCAGGCGGUUAUGUAAGACAGUUUGUGAAAAUCCCCGGGCGUCAACCUGGGAACGUGCAUCUGUGACUGCAUAGCUAGAGUACGGUAGAGGGGAGUGAAUUACCGCGUGUAGCAGUGAAAUGCGUAGAUAUGCGGAGGAACACCGAUGGCGAAGGCAAUCCCCU